UACUGAUUGUACUGCAUGCCUAAUUGAAUUUUAUUUUUCUCCCCUUAACCAAAUUCAUAAAAUUUUAGUCCAAGGGGAGAACCUCAGACUCUUUUCUGAACCAGUGCAUCUUCAAGGAUUCUCAUUGUUCUUCUGGCUGUAGUAGGAGCAUUUUCUGAAGAAGAAACUGCUGAUCAAGGUGGAGGAGGAGAGAGCCUUGACAGCCUGGCCCAUGGCAGCAUGACACAAUCAUCUUUGUUCUUAAAAAAUGUCCCUGAGAUGUCACUGCUGAGGAGCACAGAGAUGGAAACAGAAAGUGAAUAUGGCUGACAACCAAAAUGAGUCUGCCCUAUAGAUCAUCCUGUACCAGAGAUCUACAGCAUAAUGGCCUGGAAGCAGUCUUUGUUUUGGAGCCAAGCCCAGCAAAGUCUCAAUUCCUUCCCCUUCAAUCGCCAUCUGGAUGAACAAGGCCAAGUCAUUGACCUUCUCUGGGCCUCAGUUUCCUCACCCAUAAACUGGAGCAAAGUCAUCUCCAAGACAGCAGGAACCAUGUUUACUCUUUAAUCAUUGUAUGCUCCCUAAAUAUUUGCUGAACAAGUGAACAAAAAACCUGGUGGUGGUGAAAUUAGACUCCUUCUUGGUGUCACCAGGAGGUCCAGUUAAACAUACCAAGACUUGAGGAAUUAUGUCCAAGGUUCCAGCAUUGAACAUGAAGAACGCAGGAUUUAUUGGCACGUCGUGAUAACCGUAAAGCCCACGCUUCUACUGCAGUGUUGAGUUUGCGUGCCAACAGGAAAGAAUUCUGCAUGGGAGUCAGAACAUUUGUAUUAAAGACCUGAUUUUACUGGGCAACAGAGCGAGACCUUGUCUCUACAAAAAAUAAACAAAACUAACCAGGCACAGUGGUGUGCACCUGUAGUCCCAGCUACUUGGGAGGCUGAGGCUAUUGGCAGGAGAUCUUCCCAGAAGAAAAAGAAUGGAGGAAAGAUGUUGGAAAGGAAGACACAAUUGGCCAACAAGAGAAAGGAAGAGCUUCUCCAAGACUGGAAAGAGAACAAGGCUAACUUCUGUUCAACUCCCUGGCAAGUUGGUGGAUCUCAGAGAUGAAUGAUCUUGAGUCACACCAAGGUCAUGACGCCUGGGUGUGGGGAACUUCUCGUCUCAAGAAGGAACUCAUUUCAACUAUGACACACAAUGGUGAAGAUGCAAUUAUGCAAAGGACUUUCUACUUAGAAAAAAAAAGUUCAUAUCAUGGAUAACCAGCACAGACAUACAUUUUGGAAGCCUUUUUUAAAUAUUCGAGUCUUCAUGAAACCCUAAGUUUCUCUCACACAGUCAUGAAUUUAGGGGUAGGGAGUUCCAAUAAUGACCAAAUUUGAAUUUCUCAACAUACCAGGAGAGAUCUCAGGAUAGGAUUUACUUUGAUUUAAGGGGAAUAAGAGAUUUUUGACAUUUCUGUAUUUCUCACAUUCAAAUUUGACAAUGGGAGGAUCAUGCCCUGCCCCCCACCCUCAUUCUCCAUCUCUCUGAAGCCCAGGCUUUUAACCAUUGGCCAGAGGGCUGAAUAUAAAGGUCACAUGAUUUUGGCCAGGCAUGGUGGCUCAUGCCUGUAAUCCCAGCACUUUGGGAGGCCAAGGCGGGCGGAUCACCUGAGGUCAGGAGUCCAAAACCAGCCUGGCCAACAUGGUGAAACCCAGUUACUACUAAAAAUAUAAAAAUUAGCCAGGAGUGGUGGUGGGUGCCUGUAAUCCCAGCUACUAGGGAGGCUGAGGCAGGAGAAUUGCUUGAGCCCAGGAGAUGGAGGUUGCAGUGAGCCAACACGGUGCCACUGCACUCCAGCCUGGGUGACAGAGUGAGACUCCUCUCAAAAAAAAAAAAAAAGAUGGCACAAUUUCAGGGACAGCCCAGGUUCUGCAGUUCUUGUGGCCAUUGCUAAUAAGAGUGGACUCUGACUCAUCUAGGAGAAUGGGACUGAGUGGAAGACGUUUGUGGGAUUGCUCCUCAUGCCACCGUCUUCCCUGAGAUCUACUAGCUGCGUUUUUUAAUUAGUAAACUGAGAAAAAAAAAUACAUGCCUGGACAUUUUAUGCAUCUAUGAAAACAAUAGUAUUUAGGCUAGGCAUGCUGGCUCAUGCCUAUAAUCACAGCACUUUGGGAGGCUGAGGCAG
Molecule: long non-coding RNA, 2146 nt
Filed under: Homo sapiens (human)
Lineage: Eukaryota; Metazoa; Chordata; Mammalia; Primates; Hominidae
Description: HSALNT0341421
Source: RNAcentral